Ipomoea nil (Japanese morning glory) is the source of this 1804-nucleotide long non-coding RNA. RefSeq lists it as uncharacterized. NCBI's taxonomy places the organism in Eukaryota, Viridiplantae, Streptophyta, Magnoliopsida, Solanales, Convolvulaceae. The record is from RefSeq and is a predicted model, not a curated record. The transcript has 16 exons.
AAAACAUACUUCGCACGCCUUCACUCAGCCCAAACAUAAAACACACUUCGCACGCCGUCGCUCAGCAGAAUCAAACACUUCCCACCUCUGCACGCUGUCGUUCCCGCUCCUGCCUCCGCCGUAUCUCAGACUUCUCUUCGCCGUCACUCCCAACUCCGCCGCUGUCUAAGCCUCUCUUUGCCGUCAUCGCUCCCACCUCCUCCGACGUCUCAGCCUGCACCAAAGUUUCUACCGUUGUCGCCUCUUCCCGACUCUACCGCGGUCUCCAUCACUAUCCUACAGUGUACUGUGGAUGAGGAGAUAAGAAUAUCGCCAAUUUCAAUCACUCAUUUCAAAAUGUAAUUCAGAAAAUAUCCAGACAAGAAGAAGGGGAGAAGUUACAUGUUUCGGCAUAGCCAUGUUCGCCACCAUGGCUUCUCUCUAUGUCGUCGGUCGUUUAUGGAUAGAUGCGAAAAACAGAGUUUACUUGACAAAAGAUCUUGAUAGGAUAACUGGUCAGGAAUAAUAAAUGUAUCACUUAUAGUGCUUAAGUUGACUAUAUUUUCUUCUUCAUUAUUGGGACAAUCUGCAAUCUCUGUAGAUGACACUUGGAAGAUCAUAGAGUGCAGAAACUUUCAUCCUUGGAAAUGGAACUAACAGCUACUCGAUGAGAGGGUUUUCUUCCUAAGGAGCUAGCAGAUGUGAAUGGGAAUCCUAAGCAAAGGCCUUUAGUUGUGAUUGGGAUUCUUACUAGUUUUCGGCGCAAAAAUGAUAGAGAUGCUAGAUGAAAGGCAUGGAUGUCCAGAGGUGCGGCCUUGAAAAAGAUGGAGGAUGAGAAGGGAAUUAUUGCAUGAUUUUUCAUUGGGAGAAGUUCUAACCGUGGGAACAGCUUGGACAGAAGUAUCGACAAUGAAAACAGGGAAACCAAUGUUUUUUCAUUCUUGAAGACCAUGUUGAGGCACAUGAAGAAAUCUCAAAAAAGACGAAACUAUUUCUUGUCCAUGCUGGUGAUAGUUGGAUUGCUGAUUUUUAUGCCAAAGUCAACGAUGAUGUUUAUGUGAAUAUUGAUGCUUUAGGGAGCACACUUGCAACAUAUAUGGACAACCUUCGUGUAUAUGCUGGGUGUAUGAAAUCAGGCGCAGUUUUUUCUGAGCAAGAAUGCCAUGGCUGAGCUACGGAAAUUGCUAAUAUACGAAGCUUCAAGAGAUUGGUUGCCAACCAAAACAGCCCAAGAUUCAAACACCGGUGGCUAUUGCCUCUGUUGAGUUUAUUGAUCCAAGUGAACCUGUUGUGAUUGUUUCCAUCUUGAGAGCUGGCCUAGCUCUUGCUAAGCAUGCAUCAUCAAUCCUGCCUGCAACAAAAAUUUAUCAUCUGGGUUCUUUCAAGGAAGGCAAAGAAUAUGUAUACUUAGAAAGGGUUUGAAGCAAUUCCUAGAGCUUUUCAAGAACGGAAGGACGAAGGUCUAAAUGAGAGCAUUAGUGCAUAUAGUGGAGAUGUCUCUGUCCAAGUUUCAGAUGAUGAAGAAGAUGACAGAUACUUAAACCCUAAUGUUUCAUGUCAGAAUGAGAAAUCAGCCAUUUCUGUUCCGAAGCUGGCAGACUCCUCUAAGCCUGGUAAUGUCAAAAUAAGAAAUCUGAUUCCUUUUUUAUCAUUUGAUGCAAAUUUUUGGAUGUUUCUACUGAAAUUAUGCUAUUUUAGAUUAUUACUAGUGAUUUACAUAAUUGAUGUAUGAUUUUAUACUUUGACUACCAAUGUUUUUUAUGCUUGAGAUUUAGAGCUACAAUUUGAUGAUACAAUGAUAUCAAAUAUGAUGUUUUGUGCACAA